RNAcentral lists this ribosomal RNA (611 nucleotides) under uncultured archaeon. Its description in RNAcentral is "bacterial SSU rRNA". It matches the Rfam family "Archaeal small subunit ribosomal RNA", at positions 302 to 914 of the family's 1478-position model. The record is from RNAcentral.
UCUGAGACACGAAUCCAGACCCUACGGGGUGCAGCAGGCGCGAAAACUUGGCAAUGCGAGCAAUCGUGACCAGGGAACUCCAAGUGCGUAGGGUAAGACCUACGCUUUUCUUGACUCUUCAAAGGUCUUGGAAUAAGGGGUGGGUAAGGACGGUGCCAGCCGCCGCGGUAAUACCGGCGCCUCAAGUGGUAGUCGCUUUUAUUGGGCCUAAAACGUCCGUAGCCGGUCUGGUGCAUUCGUGGGUAAAUCAACCCGCUCAACGGGUUGAAUUCUGCGAGCACGGCCAGACUUGGGACCGGGAGAGGUGUGGGGUACUCUCAGGGUAGGGGUAAAAUCCUGUCAUCCUGAGAGGACCGCCUGUUGCGAAGGCGCCACACUAGAACGGAUCCGACGGUCAGGGACGAAACCUAGGGGCACGAACCGGAUUAGAUACCCGGGUAGUCCUAGGUGUAAACGCUGUGGACUUGAUGUUGGGAGCGCUCCGAGCGCUCUCAGUGUCGAAGCGAAGGUGAUAAGUCCACUGCCUGGGGAGUACGGUCGCAAGGCUGAAACUUAAAGGAAUUGGCGGGGGAGCACUGCAACCUGAGGAUUGUGCGGUUUAAUUGGAUUCA